This 253-nucleotide ribosomal RNA is filed under the name uncultured bacterium. RNAcentral describes it as "partial 16S ribosomal RNA". It matches the Rfam family "Bacterial small subunit ribosomal RNA", at positions 524 to 776 of the family's 1533-position model. The record is from RNAcentral.
UACGUAGGGUGCAAGCGUUGUCCGGAAUUAUUGGGCGUAAAGAGCUCGUAGGCGGUUUGUCGCGUCUGCUGUGAAAACUCGGGGCUUAACCCCGGGCCUGCAUUCGAUACGGGCAGACUAGAGUUCGGUAGGGGAGUCUGGAAUUCCUGGUGUAGCGGUGAAAUGCGCAGAUAUCAGGAGGAACACCGGUGGCGAAGGCGGGACUCUGGGCCGAUACUGACGCUGAGGAGCGAAAGCGUGGGGAGCAAACAGG